AAUCAACGCUGGCGGCGUGCCUAACACAUGCAAGUCGAGCGGGAAAGGGGGCUUCGGUCCCUGAGUAUAGCGGCGGACGGGUGAGUAACACGUGGGUAAUUUGCCCUUGGGUGUGGAAUAACUCAGGGAAACUUGAGCUAAUACCGCAUGACAUCCCCUUCACACACGAGUUGGGGAUCAAAGCCGGGGACCCUUCGGGGCCUGGCGCCUGAGGAGAAGCCCGCGCCCGAUUAGCUAGNGGUGAGGUAAUGGCUCACCAAGGCUUCGAUCGGUAGCCGGCCUGAGAGGGCGGACGGCCACACUGGGACUGAGGCACGGCCCAGACUCCUACGGGAGGCAGCAGUGGGGAAUUUUUGUCAAUGGGGGAAACCCUGAACAAGCAACGCCGCGUGGAGGACGACGACCU
RNAcentral lists this ribosomal RNA (406 nucleotides) under uncultured bacterium. RNAcentral's name for it is "bacterial SSU rRNA". It matches the Rfam family "Bacterial small subunit ribosomal RNA", at positions 28 to 417 of the family's 1533-position model. The record is from RNAcentral.